GGCGGUCAAGGUGGUGUAACGGUUUAGCACGUCAGCCCGCGAUAGCUGGAGACCCGGGUUCGAUUCCCGGCUUCGCCA
Leguminivora glycinivorella is the source of this 78-nucleotide non-coding RNA. NCBI's taxonomy places the organism in Eukaryota, Metazoa, Arthropoda, Insecta, Lepidoptera, Tortricidae. The record is from the annotation of a RefSeq genome assembly.